This 685-nucleotide ribosomal RNA is filed under the name Escherichia coli. Its description in RNAcentral is "partial 23S ribosomal RNA". It matches the Rfam family "Bacterial large subunit ribosomal RNA", at positions 612 to 1296 of the family's 2925-position model. The record is from RNAcentral. Lineage: Bacteria; Pseudomonadati; Pseudomonadota; Gammaproteobacteria; Enterobacterales; Enterobacteriaceae.
AUAAUGGGUCAGCGACUUAUAUUCUGUAGCAAGGUUAACCGAAUAGGGGAGCCGAAGGGAAACCGAGUCUUAACUGGGCGUUAAGUUGCAGGGUAUAGACCCGAAACCCGGUGAUCUAGCCAUGGGCAGGUUGAAGGUUGGGUAACACUAACUGGAGGACCGAACCGACUAAUGUUGAAAAAUUAGCGGAUGACUUGUGGCUGGGGGUGAAAGGCCAAUCAAACCGGGAGAUAGCUGGUUCUCCCCGAAAGCUAUUUAGGUAGCGCCUCGUGAAUUCAUCUCCGGGGGUAGAGCACUGUUUCGGCAAGGGGGUCAUCCCGACUUACCAACCCGAUGCAAACUGCGAAUACCGGAGAAUGUUAUCACGGGAGACACACGGCGGGUGCUAACGUCCGUCGUGAAGAGGGAAACAACCCAGACCGCCAGCUAAGGUCCCAAAGUCAUGGUUAAGUGGGAAACGAUGUGGGAAGGCCCAGACAGCCAGGAUGUUGGCUUAGAAGCAGCCAUCAUUUAAAGAAAGCGUAAUAGCUCACUGGUCGAGUCGGCCUGCGCGGAAGAUGUAACGGGGCUAAACCAUGCACCGAAGCUGCGGCAGCGACGCUUAUGCGUUGUUGGGUAGGGGAGCGUUCUGUAAGCCUGCGAAGGUGUGCUGUGAGGCAUGCUGGAGGUAUCAGAAGUGCGAAUG